UGGCAGGACUACUGAGCAAGGCCUUGGAAAAUCGGAGCGAUUAGAGCGGUUCAAACAAUACAGAAGUGUAUAAAGUAAGAAUUGAAAGUCUCUUCGCUGCUCUAAUCUCACUCCUCAGAGGUGAUCACUGAUUAUCAUCCCAGAGCCCUCCCUGAAGCCCACACACAGCUUCUUCAGGAAAUGCUGACAGCAUGGACCUGAGUGAGCAGAAGGCUUUUCAGAAUUACAGCCUGAACUAUUUCUUGAGCAAUUUGGGAACUCAUUUCUAAAGCAGUCCUCAGAUUCACACAACGUAGUUUGUGACGGAGUAUGCCCAGAGCAGUGUGGAAGAUGAUCAAAGUAUGACAUUUCUUCUACCCCAGAGGCUGGCAUUUCUGCAGGCACAAAUGAGCUUGGUUUUCAAGCACUGCUCUUUGAACACAAGGAAUUCCUUUAAUGAUCACGCCGGACUAUAUAGACUUUGGAAUCAGACUCUUUGAAUUCCAGCUCUGCCAUUUACCAACUUUGACACUUUGGACAACGUCUCAUUCUGUCACCCAGGCUGGAGUGCAGUGGCACAAUUAUAGCUCACUGCAGCCUCAAACACCUGGGCUCAAGCAAUCCUUCCACCUCUGCCUCCUGAGUAAUUGGGACUACAGGCAUGUGCCACCACACCCAGCUAAUUUUUAAUUUUUAAUUUUUUUGUAGAGAUGGCGGUCUUGCUAUGUCACCCAGGCUGGUCUUGAACACCUGGCCUCAAGUGAUCCUCCGGCCUUGGUCUCUCAAAGCUCUGGGAUUACAGACAUGAGCCACUGCACCCGGCUCUAUCUCCCCUUCCUAUGUGUGUUAGCUCUAGAACAAGAGAAGCCUUGUUGAGAUUCCUGGCUGCCCACCCCCCAUCACCUCUCUGACUUUGGGCAAGUUGCCUGGCCUCUCUCAGCCUUUAUUUUCUUUUUGUGAAAUGGGGAUAAUAAUAGUACUUGCCUCAUAGGCAAAAUGUUGUGAGAACUAAACGAGAAAAUGCAUGUAAAGCACUUGGCACUUAGUUCUUUUUAUGAUUAUAAUGAUAAUCAGACACAAUAAAUUAUGUCUCACAUCA
This 1078-nucleotide long non-coding RNA is filed under the name Homo sapiens (human). RNAcentral's name for it is "novel transcript". Lineage: Eukaryota; Metazoa; Chordata; Mammalia; Primates; Hominidae. The record is from RNAcentral.